Long non-coding RNA from Brassica napus (rape), 718 nucleotides. RefSeq lists it as uncharacterized. The record is from RefSeq and is a predicted model, not a curated record. The transcript is spliced from 2 exons. Lineage: Eukaryota; Viridiplantae; Streptophyta; Magnoliopsida; Brassicales; Brassicaceae.
GUUAUCAUCACCAACCUUCCUUCUGCAUCUUUCUAUUCAAAAAAUCAAAAACUUCGAUCUUCCGAUUUCAAUUUCGUCUCAUCUCCGCCUUCUCAGCAAUGAACUCCGCUUUACAUUUUGCUUUUCCGGCGGCGAAUCCAACUUUUGUCUGCGGAAUCCGAUGUGUGACUGCUUCUCCUGGAUUACUCUGUUCCCGCUUAAGAGUCUUCUCUCUUCCUCCUCCUUAUUCUUCAUCUCUCAAGGCAGAGUCAUGUUUAAAAAGAGACGCGCACAGACAAAGAAGCAGUCUUGAGUCAUCAAUGUUCUGAGAGCCAAGUUAAUAUGUAUAAUCAUUGGUCUAUGCAAUUUUCUUUCUUUUUAAUAUGUAUCUGAACCACUUUUGCUGAUUCUGCUAUAGGUUGUGGUGGAAGUGGUAACAUUAUGUGUAAAACUUGUGGCGGGGCGUGGUCACUUAGGACACUGAUGAUGACUCUGAGGUUAAACUCUGUUUUCAAUCAUAUCAUGGCUUUUGUCAUCAAUAUAUCUCUGAUCUUAUUGCAGAGUCCUAUGUUUUUAGUUUCCACAUAUAGAUUUGUGUCCCUGUACUGAUGUAAUCUCGAGCCACAGAAAUGCACAACCUUGUAACAGACUGGCUAACUUCAUCUUCUCUUGUAAUGGUUUCGUAAAUGGCUGUGACUUAAGUCACUAAACCGAAAUUCUUUAGUGACUUUUAGAUGGA